GGAAGCAUCUGGGAAAUGUGCACAGGGGCCCUGAGAGGCUGGAGACGUGACAAGUUGUGCCGCAGGAAGGAAGAGAACGUCUGGACAAGACAUGCUCUGAGUGGCUCGCAUCAGAUAAUUCUGCGGUUGAAGGUUGGAAAAUGGGCACAGAGAGAGAAGUUGAGAGGGAUAUCAUGGGUGGUUGGAAUUUCGUUUUGUUAGAACAUAACGUUCAGCUUGGGAAGACACUGAGUUCCAGGUAACUGUGGAGCAUCCUAGGAAGGCAAAUGCGAGUCAGACUCUCCGGGUUCCUUAUAAGAAAAAUCUUCCUGGGACUUCCCUGGUGGCGCAGUGGUUGGGAGUCCGCCUGCCAAUGCAGGGGACACGGUUCAAUCCCUGGUCCGGGGAAGAUCCCACAUGCCGCAGAGCAACUAAGCCCGUGCGCCACAACUACUGAGCCUGCUGCGCUCUAGAGCCCCUGAGCCACAACUACUGAGCCCGUGAGGCACAACUACUGAGCCCGUGCGCCACAACUACUGAGGCUGCUGCGCUCUAGAGCCCGUGAGCCACAACUACUGAAGCCCGCGUGCCUAGAGCCUGUGCUCCGCAACAAGAGAAGCCACCGCAAUGAGAAGCCCGCGCACCACAACGAAGAGUAGCCCCUGCUCGCCCCAACUAGAGGAAGCCUGCACACGGCAACGAAGACCCAAUGCAGCCAAAAAUAAAUAAAUUUAUUUUAAAAAAAAAAAAGAAAAAAA
This is a long non-coding RNA of Orcinus orca (killer whale), 737 nucleotides long. RefSeq lists it as uncharacterized. Lineage: Eukaryota; Metazoa; Chordata; Mammalia; Artiodactyla; Delphinidae. The record is from RefSeq and is a predicted model, not a curated record. The transcript has 2 exons.